GGAUAGCUCAACCAGUUGAGCAUGGGACUCAUAACCUCAGGAUUGUGAGUUCGAGCCCCACGUUGGGCA
Podarcis lilfordi (Lilford's wall lizard) is the source of this 69-nucleotide non-coding RNA. The record is from the annotation of a GenBank genome assembly. Lineage: Eukaryota; Metazoa; Chordata; Lepidosauria; Squamata; Lacertidae.